RNAcentral lists this ribosomal RNA (84 nucleotides) under Listeria monocytogenes. The record is from RNAcentral. Lineage: Bacteria; Bacillati; Bacillota; Bacilli; Caryophanales; Listeriaceae.
UCCCAUCCCGAACACGGUAGUUAAGCUUCUCUGCGCCAAUGGUAGUUGGGGGCUUCCCCCUGCGAGAGUAGGUCGCUGCCGGGC